CUGAUGUCAUCUUCUAUUUAUAUGCAGAACAGAUGCAUCAGGGAUCGAGGCAAUGCAAACUUCCCCACUUUGUUCCACCAAAUAUGCCUUAAUGCUGAUUUGGUAGAACCAUUUGUACAGGUAAGAGAGUAACGCUGAUUCAGCUGGUGGCUGAG
RNAcentral lists this small RNA (155 nucleotides) under Chelonoidis abingdonii (Abingdon island giant tortoise). Its description in RNAcentral is "TUC338 (ENSCABG00000018729.1)". The record is from RNAcentral. Lineage: Eukaryota; Metazoa; Chordata; Testudines; Testudinidae.